This 154-nucleotide small nucleolar RNA is filed under the name Mus caroli (Ryukyu mouse). RNAcentral describes it as "snoRNA (MGP_CAROLIEiJ_G0036516.1)". It matches the Rfam family "Small nucleolar RNA SNORA17". From Rfam's summary of the family: snoRNA ACA 17 belongs to the H/ACA family of snoRNAs and is predicted to guide pseudouridylation of the 28S rRNA at positions U4659 and U4598. The record is from RNAcentral. Lineage: Eukaryota; Metazoa; Chordata; Mammalia; Rodentia; Muridae.
CCUGUCCUAGCGGUGUUGCAUCUGUGGCUGCUGUGUCCAUGUGUAUCAGUGAGUAGUGGGUCCAAGUGUAUCAGUAGGUAGCAGAGAGAAGAGGGGCUAGGUCUAUGUUCAGUGUUUUGACCUGUGGGCAUUGAAUGAUUACAAGUCCAACAUU